RNAcentral lists this unclassified non-coding RNA (337 nucleotides) under soil metagenome. RNAcentral's name for it is "partial contains 5.8S ribosomal RNA, internal transcribed spacer 2, and large subunit ribosomal RNA". The stretch from base 1 to 120 matches the Rfam family "5.8S ribosomal RNA", at positions 35 to 154 of the family's 154-position model. The record is from RNAcentral.
GAUGAAGAACGUAGCGAAAUGCGAUAAGUAAUGUGAAUUGCAGAAUUCCGUGAAUCAUCGAAUCUUUGAACGCACAUUGCGCCCCCUGGCAUUCCGGGGGGCAUGCCUGUCCGAGCGUCAUUCCUGCCCUCAAGCACGGCUUGUGUGUUGGGUGUGGUCCCCCCGGGGACCUGCCCGAAAGGCAGCGGCGACGUCCGUCUGGUCCUCGAGCGUAUGGGGCUCUGUCACUCGCUCGGGAAGGACCUGCGGGGGUUGGUCACCACUAUAUUUUACCACGGUUGACCUCGGAUCAGGUAGGAGUUACCCGCUGAACUUAAGCAUAUCAAUAAGCGGAGGA